UGAAAGUUUUAUGCCUAAAAAUUUAAAUUUUUUUAAAAUGAUUUCUUUAUCAAUUUCCAAGGCUGGUUUCUCCAUUUUAAAAAUAUUUUUGGAAAAAAUGCUGAAACAGGUGUCCAAUGAAUUUCUUAGAAGAAUGUGUGUUUAAAUCUUCAAACCUCUAACUUCACUGGUUGAGGAGAUAUGAGCGUUUUAUGCCUAAAAAUUUAAUUUUUUUUAAAUGAUUUCUUUAUCAAUUUCCAAGGCUGGUUUCUCCAUUUUAAAAAUAUUUUUGGAAAAAAUGCUGAAACAGGUGUGCAAUGAAUUUCUUAGAAGAAUGUGUGUUUAAAUUUUCAAACCUCUAACUUCACUGGUUGAGGAGAUAUGAGCGUUUUAUGCCUAAAAAUUUAAUUUUUUUUAAAUGAUUUCUUUAUCAAUUUCCAAGGCUGGUUUCUCCAUUUUAAAAAUAUUUUUGGAAAAAAUGCUGAAACAGGUGUCCAAUGAAUUUCUUAGAAGAAUGUGUGUUUAAAUUUUCAAACCUCUAACUUCACUGGUUGAGGAGAUAUGAGCGUUUUAUGCCUAAAAAUUUAAUUUUUUUUAAAUGAUUUCUUUAUCAAUUUCCAAGGCUGGUUUCUCCAUUUUAAAAAUAUUUUUGGAAAAAAUGCUGAAACAGGUGUCCAAUGAAUUUCUUAGAAGAAUGUGUGUUUAAAUUUUCAAACCUCUAACUUCACUGGUUGAGGAGAUAUGAGCGUUUUAUGCCUAAAAAUUUAAUUUUUUUUAAAUGAUUUCUUUAUCAAUUUCCAAGGCUGGUUUCUC
Anthonomus grandis grandis is the source of this 792-nucleotide long non-coding RNA. RefSeq lists it as uncharacterized. NCBI's taxonomy places the organism in Eukaryota, Metazoa, Arthropoda, Insecta, Coleoptera, Curculionidae. The transcript has 4 exons. The record is from RefSeq and is a predicted model, not a curated record.